RNAcentral lists this transfer RNA (92 nucleotides) under Acidobacteriota bacterium. Its description in RNAcentral is "tRNA-Ser". It matches the Rfam family "tRNA". Rfam says of the family: Transfer RNA (tRNA) molecules are approximately 80 nucleotides in length. Their secondary structure includes four short double-helical elements and three loops (D, anti-codon, and T loops). Further hydrogen bonds mediate the characteristic L-shaped molecular structure. tRNAs have two regions of fundamental functional importance: the anti-codon, which is responsible for specific mRNA codon recognition, and the 3' end, to which the tRNAs corresponding amino acid is attached (by aminoacyl-tRNA synthetases). tRNAs cope with the degeneracy of the genetic code in two manners: having more than one tRNA (with a specific anti-codon) for a particular amino acid; and 'wobble' base-pairing, i.e. permitting non-standard base-pairing at the 3rd anti-codon position. Lineage: Bacteria; Pseudomonadati; Acidobacteriota. RNAcentral also lists the same sequence under 1 other name. The record is from RNAcentral.
GGAGAGGUGCUGGAGUGGCUGAACAGGGCAGCCUGCUAAGCUGUUGUACGGGUUAAACCGUACCGAGGGUUCGAAUCCCUCCCUCUCCGCCA